This 921-nucleotide long non-coding RNA is filed under the name Homo sapiens (human). RNAcentral describes it as "HSALNT0259667". Lineage: Eukaryota; Metazoa; Chordata; Mammalia; Primates; Hominidae. The record is from RNAcentral.
CUUGAACCUGGCAGGCGAAGGUUGCAGUGAGCAGAGAUCAUGCUACUACACUCCAGCCUGGAUGAUGGAGCGAGACUCUGCCUCAAAAAAAAAAGAAGUAGAAUCUAACUCCCUUCCCCAUGAAUCAAGGUGGGUUUGCUUGUCACCAAGAAUGUGGUGAAAAUGAUGCUCAGUGACUUUGGCCAAGUGACUUUUUAAGGCUAGGUCAGAAAAAGCAAGGCAGCUUCUACUGUUUCUCUGGAACCCUCCUCCCUGAGCAACCACAUGAGCAAUCUGACUGCCUAGGAGCCGCCAUGGUGUGAGGAAGCCCAAAGGAGCCCAAGCAGAGAGAUCCCAUGGAGAAGCUCUGAGACUAAAUGAAGAAAGAGAUGUUUGGCCAGCCACCAACAGCUACACACAUACUACCCACCACCCUGGCCUGCAGCUCCAGGCAUCAUCAGAAUGUCACUGUCUGAACGCUGAAAGACAGGAGCCAGAACUGCCCAGGCCUUGUGAUGAACCCAAGAAACACUCUGGACACCGAGGCUCAAGUGAACUCCCUUGGUCAACAAAAUUCCAUGCAUCUUGUCACACAUCAGUGCCAGCACGGUAACAUGUCCUGAUGCCAUGGGAGAAGGACAACAGAAGCUCUGUGUUUGAUCUUUUCCCUGGAUGCUGCUCUAUGCCCUCCUUUUCUUGGCUGAUUUUAAUCUGUAUCUUUUCCCUGUAAUAAACCAGAAGUGUGUAGUAGCUUUCUGUGAGUUCGUCCAGUGAAUUAUUGAAUUGUGAAGGUGGUUUUGGAAGUCCUCCAAACUUGUAGUUGGUAAAGAUGUAGAGAUGGGGUUUUGCCAUGUGACCCAGGCUGGUCUUGAACUCCUGGACUCAGGCGAUCUUCCUGCCUCCGCCUCCCAAAGUGUUGGGACUAUAGGCGUGAGCCACCAU